AAAAGGUAAAAGUAAAAGGUUAAAUUACAUAAUUUUCCGCUUUUUAAUUUUUUCUUUUUUGACUUUCAAAGUUUAUAUUUUAUCAAUUUAAAAUUUUAAAAAUAAUUUUUAAAAAAUACGGCAUUAAUAGAGAGGGUAAAAUAACCAAAUUAUCCUUACUUAUUCUAUACAAAAUAAUUUUUUAAUAUAUUUUUGCCAUUUUAAAAGAUAUUUUUUGUAUAAAUUAUAAUAAAUGAACAGAAUAAUAAGAGUAUUCUUAUAGAAGGGAACCGAAUGUAAUAACUUGAAAUAUUGAGAGGUAAGAUAUAGAUUUUUUAAAAUUAAAGAGAAAAAAUUUAAAAAACAAGUAUUUAUAAAAAAGUUUUUUAUAAUUUAGUCAAAGAAAAAAAAUGAUAUUUUUUUUCUUUUAAAUAAAUUGCAUAUGAUGACUAAUAUAUAGCGCAAUUUUUCUAUAAUAGAUAGAAUAUAUCUACACUGUUUACUAUGAACGUUCACCGAUAAACAUGGCAUCAUUAUACUUCUUUUAUAUAUAUAUAUUUUUUUACAUUGUAAUAAUUUAGGCUAUUUUUAAUUUUUUAUAAUAUUUAAUUUUAUAUUUGGAAAGAAUAAUUUGAUUAACAAUUAAAUUUGUGG
Molecule: long non-coding RNA, 633 nt
Filed under: Ananas comosus (pineapple)
Lineage: Eukaryota; Viridiplantae; Streptophyta; Magnoliopsida; Poales; Bromeliaceae
Description: long non-coding RNA (ACOM_LNC001446)
Source: RNAcentral